AUCGAUGAAGAACGCAGCGAAAUGCGAUACGUAAUGUGAAUUGCAGAAUUCCGUGAAUCAUUGAAUCUUUGAACGCACCUUGCGCCCCUUGGUAUUCCGAGGGGCAUGCCUGUUUGAGUGUCAUUGAAACCCCUCAACUCGACCUUUUGGAAGGUCGAGCUUGGAUUUGGAGAGUGCCGGCCAGCCUCGGCUCCUCUGAAAAGCAUUAGCGAGCGACUCUUGCGUCUGCUUUGGCGUUGAUAAACCUGUCUACGCCCCGGGCACGCUCGACGUGUUUGCUUACAGUCGUCUCUAGGGACAACCGUGACCCAACAAUCACCUCAAAUCAGGUAGGACUACCCGCUGAACUUAAGCAUAUCAAUAAGCGGAGGAAAAGAAACUAACAAGGAUUCCCCUAGUAACUGCGAGUGAAGCGGGAAAAGCUCAAAUUUAAAAUCUGGCGUUCUUUCGGACGUCCGAGUUGUAAUCUAGAGAAGCGUCUUCCGCGCCGGACCGUGUACAAGUCUCUUGGAAUGGAGCGUCGUAGAGGGUGACAAUCCCGUCUUUGACACGGACCGCCGGUGCUUUUGUGAUGCGCUCUCGAAGAGUCGAGUUGUUUGGGAAUGCAGCUCAAAACGGGUGGUAAAUUCCAUCUAAAGCUAAAUACAGGCGAGAGACCGAUAGCGAACAAGUACCGUGAGGGAAAGAUGAAAAGAACUUUGAAAAGAGAGUUAAACAGUACGUGAAAUUGUUGAAAGGGAAACGAUUCAAGUCAGUCGCGUCGCCCGGUAAUCAACCCUUUUUUCGAAGAGGGCUCACUUUCUGGGUCGACGGGUCAGCGUCAAUUUUGACCGUCAGAUAAAGGUGCGAGGAAUGUGGCAUCUUCGGAUGUGUUAUAGCCUCUCGUCGCAUGUGAUGGUCGGGAUUGAGGAUCUCGACACGCCGCAAGGUCGGGGCGUUCGUGCCCACGUAACGUGUCUCGGAUGCUGGCAUAAUGGCUUGAACCGACCCGUCUUGAAACACGG
This 1004-nucleotide ribosomal RNA is filed under the name uncultured fungus. Its description in RNAcentral is "eukaryotic LSU rRNA". The stretch from base 316 to 1004 matches the Rfam family "Eukaryotic large subunit ribosomal RNA", at positions 1 to 664 of the family's 3401-position model. Lineage: Eukaryota; Fungi. The record is from RNAcentral.